GACGAACGCUGGCGGCGUGCCUAAUACAUGCAAGUCGAACGAAACUUUCUUACGCCGUCUGCUUGCCUUCACCGUACGAAGGUGAGUGGCGUACGGGUGAGUAACACGUGGGUAACUUGCGUAAAAGAAGGGGAUAUAACUUGGAAACAGGUGCUAAUACCGUAUAUCUCUAAGGUCCGAAUGAUCCUUAGCUGAAAGAUGUUUCUGCUAUCGCUUUUAUCUUGACCCGCGGCGGAUUAACUAGUUGGUGGGGUAACGGCCUACCAAGGUGAUGAUACGUAGCUGAACUGAGAGGAUGAUCAGCCACACUGGAACUGAGACACGGCCCAAACUCCUACGGGAGGCAGCAGUAGGGAAUCUUGCACAAUGGACGAAAGUCUGAUGGAGCAACGCCGCGUGAGUGAAGAAGGUCUUCGGAUCGUAAAGCUCUGUUGGUAGGGAAGAACACGAGUGAGUGUAAAUGUUCAUUUGAUGACGUUAUCUAAACAGCAAGUCACGGCUAACUACGUG
This 510-nucleotide ribosomal RNA is filed under the name uncultured bacterium. Its description in RNAcentral is "partial 16S ribosomal RNA". It matches the Rfam family "Bacterial small subunit ribosomal RNA", at positions 28 to 507 of the family's 1533-position model. The record is from RNAcentral.